GAACUGUCCUUACAUUCCCAAACAGUGUCUCACUUCACCUCACUGCAUGAUGUUUUAACCAUUUUUUCAAGUUUCAGGGUUUAUUUGUCACAGGUACAAAAUGCAGCGAAAUGAGAUGCAGUUACUCCAAAGACUGUGUCUCUGUUUCUGUUGCUCUACUCAUGCUGCAGGUUCUGCAUGUGGUCAGUGUUUUUCUUGCUCUGAUGCAGCUGAUAAAUGUAAUCAGUGUUGGAUUAUUCGCUGACGAACCUCGACCCAUCCUUGCUCUUGAAGGACUAGGCUUUUUUUUGGAGGUUCCUUAUAUACUAUGAGAGCUCAUCAGUGAAGUAUAGGUCACCAUCAACAAUCUCUUGCGCUUCAAAAAACGUCUCUUCUUCAGGUAACAGGCUGUACAGGAGUACGCCCAGACCCCAGACGGUGGCAGGUUCUGCUCGUAAUUGUUUUC
Ictalurus furcatus (blue catfish) is the source of this 445-nucleotide long non-coding RNA. RefSeq lists it as uncharacterized. The transcript has 4 exons. NCBI's taxonomy places the organism in Eukaryota, Metazoa, Chordata, Actinopteri, Siluriformes, Ictaluridae. The record is from RefSeq and is a predicted model, not a curated record.